AACCCUUGCUGAUGCUGUAAAACGUGCCUGGGAGAGGUUCCUUUCACUUGAAGUUCGAGCCGUCGUAAACUGGAGUGGAAAAAAAGAAAGGACAAACCCCAAAAGCAUAAGUUACAGGGAAUGAAAGUUACUGAAGCAAUUUUUAGAAUUCGCCAUGCGAAAGAGUUUGCUCAAGUUACAGACAAUGCACUUAUGAAGGAGACCCGUAAUGCUGUGAAGCAUGCUGCAGAAACUGUACGGAAUAAGACGGGAAUUGUCCCACAGGAGCCUGGUUCUGACAGCAAUGAUGAGUAACGCGACCCAAGGUCAUUGGUGUAUAAGAGAAUCAGCUUGUACACCUUUCCAAAUUAACUGUCCAUCAAAACAAUCAACCAAGAAAAGUUCAAGUACCUGGCCUUGCUCAAGUUGCAUUUAAUGCCUCC
Daphnia magna is the source of this 422-nucleotide long non-coding RNA. RefSeq lists it as uncharacterized. NCBI's taxonomy places the organism in Eukaryota, Metazoa, Arthropoda, Branchiopoda, Diplostraca, Daphniidae. The record is from RefSeq and is a predicted model, not a curated record. The transcript is spliced from 3 exons.